UUUGCCGACAGCAGUUGCGAACCCCAAUAACACCGGACCACGGUGAUGAUAAUAAUAAUAAAAAAAUAAUAAUAUAUCAUUGCGGUUGAUGCGAUAUCGUCCUGCGGAGUGUGUAUAUGACCUAUUGCCGUGUUCGUUUUAUCGAAAUAAUAAAAUUGGAAAACCAGUGAAACGCUGCAGAGGCCCACAGCAAUCACCCCCAGCCGGCGCACGUCCGCGUCAAAUUUUAAAUUCUGGAUACGUCAUAAAGGUCUACGGUUUUCUGCGACAGAAGGAAAUUUACAAAUUCAUCAUCGACCCAUCCACCCACCAUUUUAUCACCAUAUUUUAACAAAACGAUAGCAAAUGUUUUUUUAGCGAAUAAACUUCCACAAAUCGUUAUAGUUUUUUCGUAGUUAAUCCCCCCUUCACCCGUUUACUCGCGUCACUGUCGCCAUACAUAUAUUAUACAGUACAAUGACUGUACAGGAGAAGGGUAGUAUACUAAAAUAUGAUGUGUUUUAGUCAUCGCUUACACAGUUACACCAUCGACUAGGCCACGUCAUGCCACUGGUCGUUUCAGGGUGCAGUAUGUUAAAUGUACAGGAAACCCGUGCGCGUGUCGCCAAAGGGUUGUUCAGUCCACUGCGGUACGAGCAGCCGAUCCAAUCACUGUCGUGCAAAUAUGGGUAAGUCCGAUACGCAUGCCCCAAGCAAAGCAGGAAAUUCUCAAACUUGAAAACGAUCGUUUUAGCUGCCCUGCAAAAUCUUGUGGACCUCACUGGGAUGUUAAAAUCAUACAGGUUGACGUUGUGGUCACGUUUCUUCGCUGCAGUCGCUAAUGACCUUUUCAGAUACUAGAGAAAUCCAGAAAUCUGUACGUCGACGUUUGUAACACCUACAAGUUCAGUAUCAACAAUAUUCAACCAGCCUGCGUCCAGUUUGACCUGUAGCUUUGAUCUAGUGAUUGUGCAUAUUGCCUGGACGAGGACAUCACACCGAUGGCAACCGAAUGUACGCCGUUGACCAAUGCCGAUGACGUCACACCGGUAUCGGGUUCCGGGUACAUUUCGUUGUCGAAACAUGAAACUGAUCACACUCCGCCGUGCCUGAAACCAAGAUGUUGCGUGUACGCCGCACUGCUGUGAGUUGUUCUUAAAAUUAUUAUAAUACUCGUUGAUAUUUAUUAUCAUUGAUCUCGUACCUGAUAUAAAGUGAUUUAUUUCUCAAAACACUGCGAUUCAGUGGGUCGGAUCAAAAAAAAAAACACCGUCGUCGUACUUAUAUUGUACAUGUAUAAUAAUUAUGCUGGCUUAGAAUAUGAAAAGGUUCUAUCGUAUCACUUUGAAAUAAUUAAAGUCAUUCAUGAGAGUGAUGUUGAACCUAUUAUAUUUUGUUCA
Molecule: long non-coding RNA, 1379 nt
Organism: Myzus persicae (green peach aphid)
Lineage: Eukaryota; Metazoa; Arthropoda; Insecta; Hemiptera; Aphididae
Exons: 4
Source: RefSeq, a predicted model, not a curated record